GACGUAGGGGGCCAGCGUUGUUCGGAAUUACUGGGUGUAAAGGGUUCGUAGGCGGUGUGGCAAGUCGGGGGUGAAAUCUCUGGGCUCAACCCAGAGUCUGCUUCCGAAACUGCUGUGCUUGAGUGUGGGAGAGGCGCGUGGAAUUGCAGGUGUAGCGGUGGAAUGCGUAGAGAUCCGGAGGAACACCAGCGGCGAAGGCGGCAUCCUGGACUGGUACUGACGCUCAUGAGCGAAAGCGUGGGGAGCGAUCCGG
RNAcentral lists this ribosomal RNA (253 nucleotides) under uncultured bacterium. Its description in RNAcentral is "partial 16S ribosomal RNA". It matches the Rfam family "Bacterial small subunit ribosomal RNA", at positions 524 to 776 of the family's 1533-position model. The record is from RNAcentral.